Molecule: small RNA, 839 nt
Filed under: Epicoccum sorghinum
Lineage: Eukaryota; Fungi; Ascomycota; Dothideomycetes; Pleosporales; Didymellaceae
Description: eukaryotic LSU rRNA
Rfam family: Eukaryotic large subunit ribosomal RNA
Source: RNAcentral
GCGGAGGAAAAGAAACCAACAGGGAUUGCCCUAGUAACGGCGAGUGAAGCGGCAACAGCUCAAAUUUGAAAUCUGGCGUCUUUGGCGUCCGAGUUGUAAUUUGCAGAGGGCGCUUUGGCAUUGGCAGCGGUCCAAGUUCCUUGGAACAGGACGUCACAGAGGGUGAGAAUCCCGUACGUGGUCGCUAGCCUUUACCGUGUAAAGCCCCUUCGACGAGUCGAGUUGUUUGGGAAUGCAGCUCUAAAUGGGAGGUAAAUUUCUUCUAAAGCUAAAUACUGGCCAGAGACCGAUAGCGCACAAGUAGAGUGAUCGAAAGAUGAAAAGCACUUUGGAAAGAGAGUUAAAAAGCACGUGAAAUUGUUGAAAGGGAAGCGCUUGCAGCCAGACUUGCCUGUAGUUGCUCAUCCGGGUUUUUACCCGGUGCACUCUUCUACGGGCAGGCCAGCAUCAGUUUGGGCGGUUGGAUAAAGGUCUCUGUCAUGUACCUCCUCUCGGGGAGAACUUAUAGGGGAGACGACAUGCAACCAGCCCGGACUGAGGUCCGCGCAUCUGCUAGGAUGCUGGCGUAAUGGCUGUAAGCGGCCCGUCUUGAAACACGGACCAAGGAGUCUAACAUCUAUGCGAGUGUUUGGGUGUCAAGCCCGAGCGCGUAAUGAAAGUGAACGGAGGUGGGAACCUUUCGGGGUGCACCAUCGACCGAUCCUGAUGUCUUCGGAUGGAUUUGAGUAAGAGCAUAGCUGUUGGGACCCGAAAGAUGGUGAACUAUGCUUGAAUAGGGUGAAGCCAGAGGAAACUCUGGUGGAGGCUCGCAGCGGUUCUGACGUGCAAAUCGAUCGUCA